Molecule: ribosomal RNA, 398 nt
Filed under: uncultured bacterium
Lineage: Bacteria
Description: bacterial SSU rRNA
Rfam family: Bacterial small subunit ribosomal RNA
Source: RNAcentral
AUAUUGCACAAUGGGGGAAACCCUGAUGCAGCGACGCCGCGUGAGCGAAGAAGUAUUUCGGUAUGUAAAGCUCUAUCAGCAGGGAAGAUAAUGACGGUACCUGACUAAGAAGCUCCGGCUAAAUACGUGCCAGCAGCCGCGGUAAUACGUAUGGAGCAAGCGUUAUCCGGAUUUACUGGGUGUAAAGGGAGCGUAGACGGUUUGUCAAGUCUGAUGUGAAAUUCCAGGGCUUAACCCUGGACCUGCAUUGGAAACUGUCGAACUAGAGUGUCGGAGAGGUGAGUGGAAUUCCUAGUGUAGCGGUGAAAUGCGUAGAUAUUAGGAGGAACACCAGUGGCGAAGGCGGCUUACUGGACGGUAACUGACGUUGAGGCUCGAAAGCGUGGGGAGCAAACAGG